ACGGAAGGCAGCAGUGGGGAAUAUUGGACAAUGGGGGAAACCCUGAUCCAGCGACGCCGCGUGAGUGAAGAAGUAUUUCGGUAUGUAAAGCUCUAUCAGCAGGGAAGAUGAUGACGGUACCUGACUAAGAAGCCCCGGCUAACUACGUGCCAGCAGCCGCGGUAAUACGUAGGGGGCAAGCGUUAUCCGGAUUUACUGGGUGUAAAGGGAGCGUAGGCGGCCAGACAAGUCAGAUGUGAAAACCCUGGGCUUAACCCGGGACCUGCAUUUGAAACUGUAGGGCUAGAGUACUGGAGAGGCAAGUGGAAUUCCUAGUGUAGCGGUGAAAUGCGUAGAUAUUAGGAAGAACACCAGUGGCGAAGGCGACUUACUGGACAGAGACUGACGCUGAGGCUCGAAAGCGUGGGGAGCAAACAGGAUUAGAUACCCUGGUA
RNAcentral lists this ribosomal RNA (434 nucleotides) under uncultured Clostridium sp. Its description in RNAcentral is "partial 16S ribosomal RNA". It matches the Rfam family "Bacterial small subunit ribosomal RNA", at positions 341 to 792 of the family's 1533-position model. The record is from RNAcentral. Lineage: Bacteria; Bacillati; Bacillota; Clostridia; Eubacteriales; Clostridiaceae.